AUAAAAGGGGCAUUAGCUACAUGAUAUAACAUGAUUUUGUUUUGGUUCAAUAAUUAAUAAAACAAGAAUGUGUCCAAAGAACACGAAUGCCCCAUUCGCAUUAUCAUUUUCCAUGUUCAAUGGACCGUGAAAUUGGGAUCAAAAUUUAAUUUGGCAUGAAAAUUAGAAAGAUCAAACCAUAAGGAACACGUGUACUAAGUUUCAAGUUGAUUGGACUUCAAUUUCAUCAAAAACUACCUUGACCAAAAAAU
RNAcentral lists this long non-coding RNA (251 nucleotides) under Mytilus galloprovincialis (Mediterranean mussel). The record is from RNAcentral. Lineage: Eukaryota; Metazoa; Mollusca; Bivalvia; Mytilida; Mytilidae.